This is a transfer RNA of Aspergillus wentii DTO 134E9, 72 nucleotides long. It matches the Rfam family "tRNA". Rfam says of the family: Transfer RNA (tRNA) molecules are approximately 80 nucleotides in length. Their secondary structure includes four short double-helical elements and three loops (D, anti-codon, and T loops). The record is from Rfam. NCBI's taxonomy places the organism in Eukaryota, Fungi, Ascomycota, Eurotiomycetes, Eurotiales, Aspergillaceae.
UCCGGCAUGGUGUAGUGGUUAACAUCGCUCGUUUUCACCGAGCAGCCCGGGGUUCGAUUCCCCGUACCGGAG